UCAGUUGAAAGAGGCUUAACUGAUCAGAUGGACAAAAAUACAAUGGAUGUACCGGUACUUGUACUAAUAAAAAAAUCAUGCAUCUAAGACUAAACUAUCAAUUUACACAUCAACAUCCAAUUGAUUUAGUGUAAAGACGUCAAACAGUCAGAGAAAACCUUGUGCAAUGCCAAGUUACAGGUAUCGACAGAUUGUAGAUUCAUGAAUGUGUAUAUGUAUUUAACAUACUAGUAAUAUUUUGUUUGCUUUUAAUUUGCUGAUAACAAAAUCAAUAUUUAU
RNAcentral lists this long non-coding RNA (279 nucleotides) under Mytilus galloprovincialis (Mediterranean mussel). Lineage: Eukaryota; Metazoa; Mollusca; Bivalvia; Mytilida; Mytilidae. The record is from RNAcentral.